RNAcentral lists this non-coding RNA (23 nucleotides) under Arabidopsis thaliana (thale cress). Lineage: Eukaryota; Viridiplantae; Streptophyta; Magnoliopsida; Brassicales; Brassicaceae. The record is from RNAcentral.
AAACUUAAUUUGUUGGGCUCGGG